UACAUGCAAGUCGAACGAAGUAGCAAUACUUAGUGGCAGACGGGUGAGUAACAUGUGGGUAUCUUCCCUUUGGUGAGGAAUAACACGAGGAAACUUGUGCUAAUACCUCAUAAGUCUUUACGGAGAAAGCUUUAUGCGCCGAUGGAUGAGCCCGCACUUGAUUAGUUUGUUGGUGGGGUAAUGGCCUACCAAGACUGUGAUCAAUAGCUGAUCUGAGAGGAUGAUCAGCCACAUUGGGACUGAGACACGGCCCAAACUCCUACGGGAGGCAGCAGUAGGGAAUAUUGCACAAUGGAGGAAACUCUGAUGCAGCGAUGCCGCGUGAGUGAAGAAGGCCCUUGGGUUGUAAAGCUCUUUCGUCGGGGAAGAAAAUGACUGUACCCGAAUAAGAAGGUCCGGCUAACUUCGUGCCAGCAGCCGCGGUAAUACGAAGGGACCUAGCGUAGUUCGGAAUUACUGGGCUUAAAGAGUUCGUAGGUGGUUAAAAAAGUUGGUUGUGAAAUCCCGGAGCUUAACUCCGGAACUGCAAUCAAAACUUUUUAGCUAGAGUAUGAUAGAGGAAAGCAGAAUUUCUAGUGUAGAGGUGAAAUUCGUAGAUAUUAGAAAGAAUACCAAUUGCGAAGGCAGCUUUCUGGAUCAUUACUGACACUGAGGAACGAAAGCAUGGGUAGCGAAGAGGAUUAGAUACCCUCGUAGUCCAUGCCGUAAACGAUGUGUGUUAGACGUUGGAAAUUUAUUUUUAGUGUCGCAGCGAAAGCAAUAAACACACCGCCUGGGGAGUACGA
Molecule: ribosomal RNA, 785 nt
Filed under: uncultured Pelagibacteraceae bacterium
Lineage: Bacteria; Pseudomonadati; Pseudomonadota; Alphaproteobacteria; Candidatus Pelagibacterales; Candidatus Pelagibacteraceae
Description: bacterial SSU rRNA
Rfam family: Bacterial small subunit ribosomal RNA
Source: RNAcentral